CUAUGCGCCUUGCCCAGCCCGCUCAGGUGUGCCAGCCGCCGCGGUAAUACGGAGGAUGCGAGCGUUAUCCGGAUUUAUUGGGUUUAAAGGGUGCGUAGGUGGUUAAUUAAGUCAGCGGUGAAAGUUUGUGGCUCAACCAUAAAAUUGCCGUUGAAACUGGUUGACUUGAGUAUAUUUGAGGUAGGCGGAAUGCGUGGUGUAGCGGUGAAAUGCAUAGAUAUCACGCAGAACUCCGAUUGCGAAGGCAGCUUACUAAACUAUAACUGACACUGAAGCACGAAAGCGUGGGGAUCAAACAGG
RNAcentral lists this ribosomal RNA (300 nucleotides) under uncultured bacterium. Its description in RNAcentral is "bacterial SSU rRNA". It matches the Rfam family "Bacterial small subunit ribosomal RNA", at positions 479 to 776 of the family's 1533-position model. The record is from RNAcentral.